GACGAACGCUGGCGGCGUGCUUAACACAUGCAAGUCGAACGGAAAGGCCCUGCUUUUGUGGGGUGCUCGAGUGGCGAACGGGUGAGUAACACGUGAGUAACCUGCCCUUGACUUUGGGAUAACUUCAGGAAACUGGGGCUAAUACCGGAUAGGAGCUCCUGCUGCAUGGUGGGGGUUGGAAAGUUUCGGCGGUUGGGGAUGGACUCGCGGCUUAUCAGCUUGUUGGUGGGGUAGCGGCUUACCAAGGCUUUGACGGGUAGCCAGCCUGAGAGGGUGACCGGCCACAUUGGGACUGAGAUACGGCCCAGACUCCUACGGGAGGCAGCAGUGGGGAAUAUUGCACAAUGGGCGGAAGCCUGAUGCAGCAACGCCGCGUGCGGGAUGACGGCCUUCGGGUUGUAAACCGCUUUCGCCUGUGACGAAGCGUGAGUGACGGUAAUGGGUAAAGAAGCACCGGCUAACUACGUG
RNAcentral lists this ribosomal RNA (468 nucleotides) under uncultured bacterium. RNAcentral describes it as "partial 16S ribosomal RNA". It matches the Rfam family "Bacterial small subunit ribosomal RNA", at positions 28 to 507 of the family's 1533-position model. The record is from RNAcentral.